UACGAAGGGGGCUAGCGUUGUUCGGAUUUACUGGGCGUAAAGCGCACGUAGGCGGAUUGUUAAGUCAGGGGUGAAAUCCUGGAGCUCAACUCCAGAACUGCCUUUGAUACUGGCAAUCUUGAGUCCGGAAGAGGUGAGUGGAACUCCUAGUGUAGAGGCGGAAUUCGUAGAUAUUAGGAAGAACACCAGUGGCGAAGGCGGCUCACUGGUCCGGUACUGACGCUGAGGUGCGAAAGCGUGGGGAGCAAACAGG
RNAcentral lists this ribosomal RNA (253 nucleotides) under uncultured bacterium. RNAcentral describes it as "partial 16S ribosomal RNA". It matches the Rfam family "Bacterial small subunit ribosomal RNA", at positions 524 to 776 of the family's 1533-position model. The record is from RNAcentral.